GAAAUAAUUCAGUCAUAAAGCAUAGCAAAACGUUCCGCGAUACAAACAAAAUCAUGCGAAGCAAUAUAUCUAAAUGAAUUACCAAUACACAAACAUCCCUCAAUGGUGGCAUCUUUAUAAACACCCAAAAUUAAAACGUGCUUUUUAAUAAAUUGACAAUUUGGCUGUGAAGCUUUAACUGGAGAAGACACCAAGGGACGCUGCUUCAUAUGUAUAUCUAAAGACCGCUUCUGGAAUAACCGUCAUUCUCUCGAUACCGAUGGAUUUUGGCAUCGAAAUUCAUGAAUUUGCAAAUUAAUAUUAUUAUAGUACGAUUGGUUAUUAAAGUUCUAUGACGAAGGUUUAUUUUAUGACCUUAAGUGUGAUGCCCGGUCGGCCAAAUUAAAGUUUCAAUAAAAUUAAUCACUAGUCUAUUUAUUGGGGUGCUUUUU
This 431-nucleotide long non-coding RNA is filed under the name Mytilus galloprovincialis (Mediterranean mussel). Lineage: Eukaryota; Metazoa; Mollusca; Bivalvia; Mytilida; Mytilidae. The record is from RNAcentral.